RNAcentral lists this ribosomal RNA (887 nucleotides) under Laburnicola dactylidis. Its description in RNAcentral is "eukaryotic LSU rRNA". It matches the Rfam family "Eukaryotic large subunit ribosomal RNA", at positions 37 to 943 of the family's 3401-position model. The record is from RNAcentral. Lineage: Eukaryota; Fungi; Ascomycota; Dothideomycetes; Pleosporales; Didymosphaeriaceae.
AGCAUAUCAAUAAGCGGAGGAAAAGAAACCAACAGGGAUUGCCCUAGUAACGGCGAGUGAAGCGGCAACAGCUCAAAUUUGAAAUCUGGCCCUUUUGGGGUCCGAGUUGUAAUUUGCAGAGGGUGCUUUGGCAUUGGCGGCGGUCUAAGUUCCUUGGAACAGGACAUCGCAGAGGGUGAGAAUCCCGUACGUGGGCGCCUGCCUUUGCCGUGUAAAGCCCCUUCGACGAGUCGAGUUGUUUGGGAAUGCAGCUCUAAAUGGGAGGUAAAUUUCUUCUAAAGCUAAAUACUGGCCAGAGACCGAUAGCGCACAAGUAGAGUGAUCGAAAGAUGAAAAGCACUUUGGAAAGAGGGUGAAACAGCACGUGAAAUUGUUAAAAGGGAAGCGCUUGCAGUCAGACUUGCCCGUAGUUGCUCACCCAGGCUUUUGCCCGGGGCACUCUUCUGCGGGCAGGCCAGCAUCAGUUUGGGCGGUUGGAUAAAGGCCUCUGUCACGUAUCUCCCUUCGGGGUGACCUUAUAGGGGAGGCGCAAUGCAACCAGCCCGGACUGAGGUCCGCGCUUCGGCUAGGAUGCUGGCGUAAUGGCUGUAAGCGGCCCGUCUUGAAACACGGACCAAGGAGUCUAACAUCUAUGCGAGUGUUUGGGUGUCAAGCCCGGACGCGCAAUGAAAGUGAACGGAGGUGGGAACCCUUUGGGUGCACCAUCGACCGAUCCUGAAGUCUUCGGAUGGAUUUGAGUAAGAGCAUAGCUGUUGGGACCCGAAAGAUGGUGAACUAUGCUUGAAUAGGGUGAAGCCAGAGGAAACUCUGGUGGAGGCUCGCAGCGGUUCUGACGUGCAAAUCGAUCGUCAAAUUUGGGCAUAGGGGCGAAAGACUAAUCGAUCCAU